GCAUCUUUUGUAAAUGAUUCAGAGCUAUAAGGGAGUUCCCAGUGCACGCAACUCCCUGCUUUGUAAGGAUUGAGAAAGGAUGACGAUUCAGAACUACAAAUGGAAGAGGAAUCAUCAAUCGUGCUUUCAUCUUCAUCAAAGAACAAACUUUGCUCUUCCAUAUGUUCAUCUUCACAUGAAACUUGAUCAUCCUGGAAAUUUUUCUCCUCUUCAAACACAUAAUAUUUCU
RNAcentral lists this unclassified non-coding RNA (229 nucleotides) under Hevea brasiliensis (rubber tree). The record is from RNAcentral. Lineage: Eukaryota; Viridiplantae; Streptophyta; Magnoliopsida; Malpighiales; Euphorbiaceae.